Molecule: ribosomal RNA, 433 nt
Filed under: uncultured bacterium
Lineage: Bacteria
Description: partial 16S ribosomal RNA
Rfam family: Bacterial small subunit ribosomal RNA
Source: RNAcentral
AACGAACGCUGGCGGCAGGCCUAACACAUGCAAGUCGAGCGCGCCCUUCGGGGUGAGCGGCGGACGGGUGGGUAACGCGUGGGAACGUGCCCUUUUCUACGGAAUAGCCUCGGAAAACUGAGAGUAAUACCGUAUACGCCCUUUGGGGGAAAGAUUUAUCGGAAAAGGAUCGGCCCGCGUUGGAUUAGGUAGUUGGUGGGGUAAUGGCCUACCAAGCCGACGAUCCAUAGCUGGUUUGAGAGGAUGAUCAACCACACUGGGACUGAGACACGGCCCAGACUCCUACGGGAGGCAGCAGUGGGGAAUCUUAGACAAUGGGGGCAACCCUGAUCUAGCCAUGCCGCGUGAGUGAUGAAGGCCUUAGGGUUGUAAAGCUCUUUCAGCUGGGAAGAUAAUGACGGUACCAGCAGAAGAAGCCCCGGCUAACUCCGUG